Molecule: unclassified non-coding RNA, 431 nt
Filed under: uncultured fungus
Lineage: Eukaryota; Fungi
Description: partial contains ITS1, 5.8S rRNA and ITS2
Source: RNAcentral
AACGCAUAUUGCGCUCCCUGGUAUUCCGGGGAGCAUACCUGUUUGAGUAUCAGUAACACCCUCUACCGAGAAAAAUCUAUGCAAUUAUUCAUUGCAUAGAUCUUUCGUAGGUUGGACUUGGAUGCAUCUUUUUUCUUUGGAAUAAAAGUCUUCCGAAAUCCAUAGAACAUUUCCGUGGCAGAAAGCCCCCAUGAGAAAAUAUAAGCGUGACAAAAGCCCCCCUCCUUGUGAGUGUGUGUGUUUAGCCCGCUUUGUUUUUAAAAAAACUCAUGAGGUGAUAUCUCCAAGGAACCCUGUUCCAUCAGAAAACCCUCAAAAAAAGAAGACAGGGGAAAUUGGGCAAAGAACCAAAAUUUUUUGCUCUCUCUCUCCCCUCCCUCUGUUUUUGAAUUCUUGAUCUCAAAUCAGGCAAGACUACCCGCUGAACUUAA